RNAcentral lists this long non-coding RNA (5531 nucleotides) under Harpegnathos saltator (Jerdon's jumping ant). RNAcentral's name for it is "uncharacterized LOC112590480, transcript variant X9". Lineage: Eukaryota; Metazoa; Arthropoda; Insecta; Hymenoptera; Formicidae. The record is from RNAcentral.
AUUAGAACGGUAAUUAUGUGUAUAAUGUCAUAUAACAUUAAAAAGUGUGGAAAAUAAUUCGUAAUUAAGAAAUGUUAAUAAAUUUGUUUAUAUAAUAGUCACGUUCAGAGUUAAUAAACAACUAACUGCUAACAAUAUAACACUAUUUUUUAUCAAACUUUAUGAACUUUGCACUACUUUUUCUGCGAAAUUUUAAUAGGAAUUGUCAAAUAAAAAAGCCAGCUAAUAUAGUUCCUUUAAUGCGCGUACAUUUCCCAACCUCUAAACAGUCUAUAUCAUUAAAAACAUUUCGAAAAACAAUGUAAGUAUUUCAUAGAAUUAAUUAAAUAAUGCAAUUUUCUACGGAACAUGAAUCAAGAUUGAUAUCAAUCUCCUCUUUUAUAUGCGCAACUGUUUAUUAUUCUUUAGACAUAGUAAUUUGUGAUAAAUUUGUGUGCAUGUGUGAUAAAAGGAACUACAUUAUUAAAACUGCUUUCCUUCACUGACAAAGAGGCUUACAUAAUACCGAAGACUGUAAGAACGCAUUAUAAAUAGCAUGCACAUGAAUAGAACUUGCAAUACGCGUUCAUUCGUUGAAUCGUUAAGACGUGUUGGAAAGAUUCAAACUCGUAUUAAAUCUUCAUAAGUAAAAUACAAAUUAACGUGCAAAAGUUAUGUGUACAGAAUUUUACGAAAAUCGUCAAGAUUAUUUAUCAUUAUAAUAAAAAAGUUGCUAAGAAGAAUUCGACCUUCUUUAGUUUGUUGACUUUAAGAUCGUGAAGAAUAUCGAGAUUAUUAAACGACACAAUGAAAGUGUUCUUCCAUAUCUUCUUAAUAAUUAUGCUGAUAACCUUCAGCCUAAUAUCACUUGGAUUGUCAACAAGAAUCCCUCCAGAACAAACAACACAACUUCCGACUACCAUCGAAAGACAUUCAACACCAUUUAUACAGCCUACACGUGAACCAAUUGUACCAGCUGUACCAUACAAAGCUCAUCUUAUAGAUACUCCGGAAUUUGAAGAAGUAACUUGCCCACCAGGGAAACAAAAAGACCCACGCGGGAUAUGUCGAGAUAUUGCGCGAUAAGCAAUAAUAUUGAACAAGCAGGCCUAAAUAUUUGAGCCGUUCUACAACACAAAAAUCUAAUAAUAUAACAAAUACAAGGAGGUAAUUUAAGAGACACAAAAUAACAUGUAUGGCAACUUACAAAUGUAAACAAAACUUAAUUAUCACUAAUAAAGUCAAUUACUCUGAAGCUCUAUAUAUUUUCUGAAAUAAACUAUGAUCUAUAAUAAUUUACUGACGUUUAUGGUAACGAAAAAUAGUAUGACAAUGAUGUGCGUAAUAUUGUAUAAUAUAUUAUGUUAGAAACCUGUAUGAAACCAUUCGAUCAAAUGUCUUAAUAAAAUUGGUAUUCUAUAAUCGUUACAUUAAGAGUUAAUAAACCACUACCUAAUAUAACAUCACACUAUUUCUUAUUAAAACUUAUUUGAGUCACGUCUUUUAUCUGUAAAAUUUAGUAAGAAUUAACGAAAUUAGAACGUCGUUCUACGCGAUUCAUUAGAUGCGCUUAAGAGGUAUAGGUCCAAUUCCCAAUCUCUUCUAAAAAGUGUAUAUCGGACAACACAUUUCGAAGGACAAUGUAAGUAUUUCCUAAUAUCGAUAAUCAAUGCAAUUUUGGGGAGCAUAUAAACCACAAUUAGCAUUAAACACAUAUUUUAUACGCGCAAUUAUUUGGCAUAGCGUAGAUUUGUAUUUGUUACAUUCAUAGAAACAGAAUAAAGUACUUUCUAAAACUGGUUUUGCUUAUAGACUUAUGUAUAGGUUUAUGUAAGACGAAAGACUAUAAAAACGCAUUAUAAACAGUGUACGCGUGAAAAAAGCUUACAAUACGUGUUAAUUUAUCGAGACGGUAAGACGUGUCGGAAAGAUUCAAACUCGUAUUAAAUUUUCAUCGUAAAAUAUAUCGGGAUUAUUGAACGUCAUAAUGAAAGUGUUCCUUCAUGUUUCCUUAAUAAUUGGGCUGAUAAUAUUCAGCCUAAUAUCAUUUGGAAACCCAAAAAGAAUCCGACCAACAACACAGCUUCCGUCUACAACCGUACUUUCAACAACACCUCAGCCAGCUCAAGCACCUACUGUUAUAGAGUUGCCGGAAUUUGAAGAAAAGACUUGCCCAUCCGGACAACUAAAAGACCCACGCGGAAUAUGUCGCACAAAGCAAUAAUAUUAAGAAAAAGAUACGCCUCUAGAAUUACUAAAUAAUAUAGCAGAUAUGAGGAGGUAAUUCAAGCAACAUAAAAUAACACAUGGCAAUCUACGAACUAAACAUUAAUUAUCACUAAUAGUCAAUUAUUCUAUAUAUCUUCUGAAAUAAUCUUCGAAAAUAAUCUACGUAUAAUCUAUAAUAAUUUACUGAUGGUUAUAACGAAAAAUAAUAUGACAAUUACGUGCGUAAUAUAAUAUAUUAUGUUAGAAAACUAUAUAAAACAUCAAAAAGUCACACAUCCGAUCAAAAAGUUUUAAUAAAUUCACUUUUUGAUAAUCGUUACACUAAGAGUUACCACUAUCUACUAUACCACUAUCUACUAUAAUAUAAUACUAUUUCUUUUUAAAGCUCUAAAUAUUUUAAUCGCAACUUUUCUUGUGAAAUUUUAAUAGAAAUUACUGAAAUUAGAACGUCAGCCGUUCAACGCGGUUUGUUAGAUUCGUGUAGAAGGCAAGGUAGGUUUAAUUCUUAAUUUACCCUAAAAUGUGUAUAUCUCGGGGAACAAAAUAAGAAUUUCCUAACAUCGAGUAAAUAAUGCAAUUGUGAGCAGUACAUAAACCGUGAAUAGUAUUAAUUACAUUUUAUAUGCACAACUAUUUGUCAAGUAAUUAGUUUAAAUAGUAUAGAUUAGUGAUUAUUUGUUGCAUAUGUGGGAACUGGAUAAGACUUUUUAUAAAACUGGUUUUGCUAGAUAGGCUUACGUAAUACGACAGACUAUAGGUACAUAUUAUAAAUAGCAUGCGCUUGAAAAGAAUUCUCAAUAUGUGUUAAUUUGUCGGGACGGUAAGACGUGUUGGGAGGACUCAAACUCAUAUCAAAUUUUCGUAAGUAAAAUACAGAUUACCGUGCAAAAACUAUGUUUGAAGAACCUUACAAAAUGCAACAAGAAUAAGUUAUUAUUAUCAUAAAACAGUUACUAAAAAGAAUUUGACUUUCUAAUUUUAGUUUUUUGGCUUUAAGGUGGUGAAAAAUUGAGAUUAUUAAAUAGCACAAUGAAAGAUUUUUUCUGUUUUCCUAAUAACUAUGCUGAUAAUGCUCAGCCUAAUAUCACUUGGAAAGUCAGAAAGAGUCCAUCGAGAAGUAACAACACAGCUUCCGGCUAUCAGCGAAUUACAUGCAACAGAAAGUUGCCAUACAAGCCAUACAGCCAUACAAGAAGAGUUACCUAAUAUUAUAUACCUCCCGAGAUUGACAGUGGUUUGCCCACCAGGGAAACUAAAAGAUCCACACGGAAUAUGUCGAGAUAUUGCGGAAUAAGCAAUGAAAUUGAAAACAAGUAGGUAAUUAUCAAUUAAAGAUAUGCUAUCACUAAUUAUAACAAAUGGAAUUAACAACAUAUGAAAACUUUUCAUCCAUCAAGACCUCCAUUUUAUGUAUUCAUCCUAUUUAUUCUAUAUAUAUUCAUCCUAUCUAUUCUAUCUAUUCUUCCCACCUCAGCCCUAAAUAUUUGAAACGUUACAUAAUACAGAAAUUGUCAAAUAAUACAGCAGAGUCGAAAAAGUAAUUCAGGGGACAUAAAAUAAUAUAUGGUAACUUACAAAUGAAAAUAAACAUCAAUUAAUUAUCAUUAAGAAAAUCAAUUGUUCCGACGUUCUAUAUAUUUUGAUGAAAUAAUCUAUAAUCUAUAAUAUUUACUGAUGCUUGUGUUAACAAAAAACGGUUUGACAAUUAUAUGUGUAAUAUAAAAUAAUAUGUUGAAGAACUGUAUAAGAAAUCAUUUGACUAAGAAAUCUUAAUAAAAUUGGUUCAUAUAACUGUUACAUUAAGUGUCGAUAAAUAACUACUACUGCUGUAACAUAACACUGUUUCUUAUUAAAACUCAGAAACAUUUGAAUCAGAUCUUUCAUCUGUGAAAUUUUAGUAAAAAUUACCGAAAUUAAAAUCUUUCAACGCGGUUCGUUAGAUGCGCGUAGAAGGCAUAGAUUUAAUUUCCAAUCUCUUCUAAAAAGCGUAUAUAGGACUAAAUAUUUCGGGGAACAAUGUAAGUAUAUUCUAACAUUGAAUAAUUAAUGCAAUUUUGGAAAGCACAUAAACCACGAUUAGUAAUUAUUAUUAAUUGCUUCUUUUAUAUGCGCAAUUAUUUGGCAUGGUGUAGAUUAGUGAUUAUUUGUUACAUACCUCGAAACAGGAUAAAACUGUGACAGUGUAAAACUGGUUUUGCUCAUAGAUAGGCUUACGUAACACGAAAGAUUAUAAGAAUGCAUUAUAAACAGCAUACGCGUAGAAAAAUCUUACAAUACGUGUUAAUUUGUCGGAACGAUAAGACGUGUCGGGAAGACUCAAACUCAUAUUAAAUUUUCUUUGGCUUUAAUGUCGUGAAGAAUAUCGAGAUUAUUAAACAGCCAAUGAAAGUGUUGCUCCAUGCUUUCUUAAUAUUUAUGCUAAUAAUGUCGAGCCUAAUACCACUUGGAAAAUCAGAAGGAGUCCGUCAAGAACCAACAACAUAGCUUCCGUUUACCGUCGAAUAUCUACAACAGGACGUUAUUAUUUACUUAACAUUAUACAUCUACCGAGAUCGAAAGAAGUGACGUGCUCACUGCUCACCAGAGAAACUAAAAGAUCCACACGGAAGAUGUCGAACUAUUGGGGCAAUAAAAAUAAUACGCAAUAAAAUUGAAAACUAAAGCAGUUGAAGAAGAGUCAUUAACAGAAAUUCCACUUUCUACCGUGAAUUAUUCAGAAACCUCUCUCGAAAUAGCACCUUUUAUCGCUAAUAUCAUAGAAUUUAAACCUCGUAUUGCCGUAACUUGCCCAGAAGGAGAACAACUAGAUCCACACGGGAUAUGUCGCCAGAGGAUGUAAUGUUGAAGACACAUGUAGAUAUAAAGUGAUUUUCAUUGGUAAUGCUGAAUCCAGUAAAAAUAAUGGAACACAUAAAAAUAAUAACUACACAACUAUAGAAUACCAUAUAAUACUUUGCGAUCCGCUGACACUGUAACAUCGUCGUAUCUUCUCUAACGUUAUGAUUCGUCGAAUAUAUAGUAAUAUAUAGUAGUCAACUAUAUAUAGUAAUAUUGCGUAGUAUCAUAGUAAUGCGAUGAUGUAAAAAAUGUGAUUAUAGUUAAAAACACACCUAUGAUUGAAUAUGUCCUUUUAUAUGGCUAUUUUUUUAGGGGGAGGAUAUACAAAUCCGAAGCAAAAUCAGCGUCCCUUCUAUGAAGUUCCAGAAGAUUUUCUUUGUUUAAAAGGCCAAAGAAUGAAUACUCAGUCUUACACUGGGUGACUCAGAGUUCAGAUAUGUCGUUUUCCUUUCUAAUGAAAAGAAUGCGCAGAUAAUUGUCGAUUU